Molecule: ribosomal RNA, 254 nt
Filed under: uncultured prokaryote
Description: partial 16S ribosomal RNA
Rfam family: Bacterial small subunit ribosomal RNA
Source: RNAcentral
UACGGAGGAUGCAAGCGUUAUCCGGAUUUAUUGGGUUUAGAGGGUGCGCAGGUUGUUUGAUAAGUCAGUGGUGAAAGUCUGUCGCUUAACGGUAGGAUUGCCAUUGAUACUGUUAGACUUGAAUAUGGAUGAGGUAGGCGGAAUGUGUAGUGUAGCGGUGAAAUGCAUAGAUAUCACGAGGAACUCCGAUUGCGCAGGCAGCUUACUAAACUACUACUGACGCUAAGGCACGAAGGCGUGGGGAUCAAACAGGA